Molecule: ribosomal RNA, 573 nt
Filed under: Enterococcus faecium
Lineage: Bacteria; Bacillati; Bacillota; Bacilli; Lactobacillales; Enterococcaceae
Description: bacterial SSU rRNA
Rfam family: Bacterial small subunit ribosomal RNA
Source: RNAcentral
ACCUUACCAGGUCUUGACAUCCUUUGACCACUCUAGAGAUAGAGCUUCCCCUUCGGGGGCAAAGUGACAGGUGGUGCAUGGUUGUCGUCAGCUCGUGUCGUGAGAUGUUGGGUUAAGUCCCGCAACGAGCGCAACCCUUAUUGUUAGUUGCCAUCAUUCAGUUGGGCACUCUAGCAAGACUGCCGGUGACAAACCGGAGGAAGGUGGGGAUGACGUCAAAUCAUCAUGCCCCUUAUGACCUGGGCUACACACGUGCUACAAUGGGAAGUACAACGAGUCGCGAAGUCGCGAGGCUAAGCUAAUCUCUUAAAGCUUCUCUCAGUUCGGAUUGCAGGCUGCAACUCGCCUGCAUGAAGCCGGAAUCGCUAGUAAUCGCGGAUCAGCACGCCGCGGUGAAUACGUUCCCGGGCCUUGUACACACCGCCCGUCACACCACGAGAGUUUGUAACACCCGAAGUCGGUGAGGUAACCNUUUUGGAGCCAGCCGCCUAAGGUGGGAUAGAUGAUUGGGGUGAAGUCGUAACAAGGUAGCCGUAUCGGAAGGUGCGGCUGGAUCACCUCCUUUCUAAGGAA